This 885-nucleotide ribosomal RNA is filed under the name Teratosphaeria cryptica. RNAcentral describes it as "eukaryotic LSU rRNA". It matches the Rfam family "Eukaryotic large subunit ribosomal RNA", at positions 43 to 960 of the family's 3401-position model. Lineage: Eukaryota; Fungi; Ascomycota; Dothideomycetes; Mycosphaerellales; Teratosphaeriaceae. The record is from RNAcentral.
UCAAUAAGCGGAGGAAAAGAAACCAACAGGGAUUGCCCUAGUAACGGCGAGUGAAGCGGCAACAGCUCAAAUUUGAAAUCUGGCGCAAGCCCGAGUUGUAAUUUGUAGAGGAUGCUUCAGGGCAGCGGCCGGUCUAAGUUCCUUGGAACAGGACGUCAUAGAGGGUGAGAAUCCCGUAUGCGACCGGUUGGCACCCGUCACGUAGCUCCUUCGACGAGUCGAGUUGUUUGGGAAUGCAGCUCUAAAUGGGAGGUAAAUUUCUUCUAAAGCUAAAUACCGGCCAGAGACCGAUAGCGCACAAGUAGAGUGAUCGAAAGAUGAAAAGCACUUUGGAAAGAGAGUUAAAAAGCACGUGAAAUUGUUGAAAGGGAAGCGCAUGCAACCAGACUUGUCGGCGGUGUUCCGCCGGUCUUCUGACCGGUCCAUUCGCCGCCGACAGGCCAGCAUCAUCUGGGCGCGCCGGAUAAAGGCGUAGGGAAUGUGGCUCCUCGGAGUAUUAUAGCCCCGCGCACAAUACGGCGCCGCUCGGGUGAGGUCCGCGCUUCGGCUAGGAUGCUGGCGUAAUGGUUGUCUGCGGCCCGUCUUGAAACACGGACCAAGGAGUCUAACAUCUAUGCGAGUGUUCGGGCGUCAAACCCCUACGCGUAAUGAAAGUGAACGGAGGUGGGAAGCGCAAGCUGCACCAUCGACCGAUCCUGAUGUCUUCGGAUGGAUUUGAGUAAGAGCAUAGCUGUUGGGACCCGAAAGAUGGUGAACUAUGCCUGAAUAGGGUGAAGCCAGAGGAAACUCUGGUGGAGGCUCGCAGCGGUUCUGACGUGCAAAUCGAUCGUCAAAUUUGGGUAUAGGGGCGAAAGACUAAUCGAACCAUCUAGUAGCUGGUUCCUG